Molecule: long non-coding RNA, 2023 nt
Filed under: Helianthus annuus (common sunflower)
Lineage: Eukaryota; Viridiplantae; Streptophyta; Magnoliopsida; Asterales; Asteraceae
Description: hypothetical non coding rna
Source: RNAcentral
UAGGUGUGUACGUGCGAUCGAGCAGGAGAAAGGGGAAGGGGUGUAAACCCUAACCCACAAGAAAUCAUCAAAUUGAAAAGGGAACCGAGGGCUGAUUGUAUCCAUGAACCAAGAAUGAUGAUCCCUUAAGCGUUUCUAACAUCGAGAUGAAUGUGUGAAAUAAUAGGAACAUGUCAAGGAAAGCUCAAGCAUGGAAAGGCUAACGAGUCAACAGUAAACAUGGGAACUAUGCGUAAAUUCGGACGCACGAGGUAAGUAAACUCCCAGACUCCCACUUUAGUAGUAAUGGAAUUAAUUGUAUGAUAAUUGUUAGAGGUUAUGUUGAAAUGCGUUAUUGCGGAUGAUAUCAAAUAAGUAGUAUUAAGUAAGUGGUUUCCGAAUCACUUCUUAGAUUAUUUAAGCAAAGUUAUGUGCUAGUCACUUAAGCAUGAUAAUCGAAGCCUAUUAGGAUUUGGUUAUUUAGAAGUGAAGGUUUUCGCUAUGUAGACCAACGGGUCAAAUUAAGAAUUUAUUUCAUUACGGAAUGGUUGCAUAAGUAUAGACGGCGGUAUUAUAAUCCGGGUAAUUAACAGGUAGAAUUUCUCAUAAGUGCGCUAACCGAGAGACGGGGACGCGGGUUAAUGGGCAAAGGACUUGGUUUGAGACAUGACCAAUGGGAACAAUUUCCUGUAAGGAAAUUGUGCUAAUAAAGUUCAAUUACGUAAAAUUUAUUGAAAUGAAUAAGUUUAACGUUUACUGGGAAUCGGGUUCAUAAACUCAUUGUACGGAACUCCGAAUAAUAUAAAAGUGUUAUAGUUAUAACGUUCAUGUGAGUUUUGGGUAUAAACGUAUGAGUUGUUUGAUAAAAACAUGAACGGGUCGAAUAAUUCGUAAAUGAAUAUUAAGCCGAAAGCAUAUAAGUUAAGAACUUUCUUUAGUUUGGAUGUUAGAUUUUAAGUCAAUUUGAUAGAGGACCAAAAUAUGGUCAUGUAGGAAGAAACGGGAGGUUAAACGGGUGAACGGUUUGAAAGUUACGGCCAUUUUCGUAAAAAAAAGUUGGAAAAGCUACAGAGCAGCCAAAUCGUAAGCUACGGCUGAGCCGUAGGCUACAGAACGUAGCUGCUGUUUCGAUCAGAACAGCCGAAUCGUAAGCUACGGCUUAGUCGUAGGCUACGGAAUGUAGCUGCUCAUUGGACCAGAACAACUGAAUCGUAAGCUACGGCUCAGCCGUAGCUUACUACGGGCAGCUUUUGCAAAAUGUUGAUUGUUUUGUUAUUUUGGCCUUCGGGCAUAAAUAGAUACAUUAUAAACUCCUCAUAACUAACGUAUUUGGAUUAUAAAUGUGUCUGGGAACGAGUAAGUAUGUAUGUAUGUAUGUUAAUAUGUAUAACACCUAUUUUAUAAGAGUUGUGAAUAUGACAUGUUAGUAUAAGUUUAUGUGUAUAAAUGUGUGUAUGUGUGUAUGAAUGAAGCAUGUAUAUAGGUGUAUAUGAUUGCAUAAACGUAGAUAUGACGGUAAGUAUGUAUGAAUGCAAGAUGCUAUGAAUGUAAGAUGAUAUGUUUGUACAUAGGAAUGGCUACAAGAUGUCUGGGUAUUGACGAUUACUAAUGAUGUGCCUUAAGUUUGCAAUGAAAUGCAGGUAUGAAAUCGUCGGGUUCAUGAGGAAUUGAUACCGGACUUGGAUUAAGAGUAUUUAACAGAAUGCUUGGAUAAUUCCAUGUUUACAUUAUGGAAUGCUAUGCGAAUUUCAAUUAUAUAGUAUAAUGUUGUAUGGUGAGAUAAUGACUAAUGGUUAAGUCGUAUAUGAUGUCCACAGGUAUCACACUGAUUUCCUCUACCACUAACGAAGAUAAGCGGGCAUAGAUCAAGUCAAAGAACAAGGAUUGUACGGAUAGGACGGUCACCUAGCUUGAAUUAUGUAACGCGCCUGGAAGUAUUAAUUUAAGUAUGAACGUUGUUAAUUCUUUCUAGUAAAAGUUUGACAUUUUUGUAACUAAGCCUUUUCGUAAGUAAUGUCCUUAAUAAAAAAAGAAUUUUUAAGCU